AUGAAUGUAACCUACGAACUGGUGAGAAUCGAAUUGCGGGGUUUACCGUUCAACAUACCUUUUCUUUACCCUCUCUAAUUGUACUGUUAUUUCAAGAGUAAUGCUAGCUAGCGCGGUGUUAAAACAUCUAUCUAAAUGUCACACCUUAACAUUGCAAGGCAUUAAUGAAAUUAAUCCGAGGUUAAAGAGCAUAAGAUUGCGUCAUGCCGUCUGCUUUUGGCGCUCAUCGAGGCAGAGGCUGACCUCGCAUUUCUCUCUGCGUGCUACUCUGUGUGUGUGUGUGUGUGUGCGUGUGCUGGAUUUUAGAAUGGAGUUUUCAAAUCCUCUGCUCCGAAAGUACCGCACCGAUCGGGGGAAGGUUCUCGAGUUUCUACUAUAAGCGGGAGUGAUUAAAGAAAUCAAAACUCCGGCCGGCCUCACCGCUUCAAUUUCGAUUCUCUGAGCUUACGUACUUGAAUGCAUUAAAUCGGGUAAUUUAAUUUAUGUGAGAAGUUAAUAUUGCUGGAUAGGUAUUCAAAUUUUGUCCAUCUCUGGAAUUACGGGCCUCACUACCUCAAUUUCUAAGUUCCAAUUUCGAUUCUCUUAGUAUUUCGAUUCAAGAAAUAGUUAAGGUCGAGCAUUUCAAUUGAUAAAUUUCUUGUUGAUAUGCAUUUAUGCGAGAUCUUCCUUCCCCCUUGCGUCUUACCAAGAACUUUGAUAGCUCGAGUUAGGAGCUCAUAUGCAUCUACGCCAUAAUGUGGUUAGACAACUGCUAAUGGAUGGAGUAUUAUUACUUGAGUUUCCGAAAUCAACAGGAUAUUGGCGAACCAUUUGACUGAUUAGCCAUGCUAUUGAUAAAUAUAUUGAGAGAGCCAUUUAAGUGUGCCACAUGUAAUGGCAACCCACCUAUGCGAAUACAGAUAUCAAGAUGUACGUUCAAUGGACAAAAACAAGUCAUUUGAGUAGUGGAGGCACUGCCAUAUGCGAAUGCGAGUUCCAAAUAUGUUCCAUCGUCGUGGCUUAGAUAGUGCAACUGCACAUGGGAGGUUGAGCUUAAAGCUCUUAAUGGAUCCAUAGCCCUUUAGAGUGACAUUUCUUUUUCCUGUUUAUGAUUGGUGGAAUCCGCCUAUAUGAAUAUGAGAUUGGGACUGCCUUCUAUGAGAAAUUAGACCAAUUUCUCUAGAGUAUUCAUGAAUAACCUGGUAGGGCACAUAGUCUAAACGUGCCAACUUGAAGGCUCUUUUAUAUCUGAAGCUGAUACGUGUCUUGGAUAUAUAGCUGAUUUAGACUCAAGAAGUUUGUUCAAAGCUUAAUUUCACCCCACUUCUGUAAAUCCAAUCUAAGAGUUGAUUCAAGUCAAAAGACAUCAGCAUUAAUGUGUGUCAAUUUCUUCAAUCUGACUAGAGCUCCAUUAUUUUAUCGUGUUAUUUCUCAAAUUUUGAAUAAUGAGGAGGAUUGUUAUGUAUGUAUAUGUGUGUGUGUGUGUGUGUGUGUGUGUGUGUAAUAUGUUAUUAUAAUGCAAGUUUUGAAGUUAUGAUCUUUUCACCUUGGAGUUAUGAAUUUAUCACUUUAGUUUAAUGUUUAUGAGUUAAACAUAUAGAAUUUCAUGGUUAUUAGAUCUAAAAAAUGAGGCUUGAUAAAUCUAAAAGGCGACGUUCUUAAAUACUUUGGCAUGUUUCUAUGCAUUAAAAAAGCCAUCAUUUGUAGGAUGAGAAUCACAACUCCCAGAUUUGUCUUUUCCUAAUUUUUUUUGUAUACUUUACCUAUCUGAGCUCUAAUUGGAUGCUUAAGAAAGUCCUCCUUGACCUUCUCUGGGGAGUGCAUCCUUAGCUGUGGUUCACUGGUUGUUGAAUCUUGGAAGCAGGUCGCCUAUUCCUUAUUGCACCAGAUUACGUAUCCCGAGGAGCAAUCUAUCUUAAGGAUAGCGAUUUUUUUUCAUUGAAUUCAAACCUGUUUCAUUUUGUUGUGUGCGUUAAUUGUGCUAAAAGAGGGACAUUUUUCCUUGCUUUCACAUAUUGUAGCAAAAAAAAUAUAAAAAAAUUGAAUCAUAUUUGCAUCUUGUAUUGUUCAUGAUUUAAAGGUUCUAAACAUUUGAGCAGUAGCAUUGAUCGAAAAAUUCUUCUUUUUAGAAAGAUAAGAUGAACAAUUAGUGUUUAGCAUCUUAAAUUUGUACGAGUCUCAUUUGUGUGACUGUACAUGUGCAACUAGCAUUGUUCUUCUUAUCUUGAGACAUUAUAAAGUUUUGCAUUUUGUUACCGAACCAUUAGAUCUGCUCAACCAUUCAGUAUGUUGAUAGUCCCUAUUCAUCAUCACUUGUCUGGGCUUUAGACUCCCUUAUUCCCAUAACAGCAAAAUUCUUAGCAGAGUAGGUCUCAAUUCUCACAUUAUCAAGUAUGUUCUGACCAGGAGAAAAGGCGUAACUAUGUGGUGAACCAGCUCUUACAUGCCCUUGGGAAAACUCAUUCCUCUCCGGCAACAUUUUCACCGGAAUUCCAAUCACCAUAUCACUCACAUUCCCAUCUGGCGUCAUCACCGGCCGAGGAGGGUGUGG
RNAcentral lists this long non-coding RNA (2530 nucleotides) under Olea europaea (common olive). RNAcentral describes it as "long non-coding RNA (OEUR_LNC002782)". Lineage: Eukaryota; Viridiplantae; Streptophyta; Magnoliopsida; Lamiales; Oleaceae. The record is from RNAcentral.